Molecule: long non-coding RNA, 287 nt
Filed under: Elaeis guineensis (African oil palm)
Lineage: Eukaryota; Viridiplantae; Streptophyta; Magnoliopsida; Arecales; Arecaceae
Description: long non-coding RNA (EGUI_LNC004604)
Source: RNAcentral
ACCUCUUCCUUCCUUCUCCACUUUAUAUCCAUGCCCAGAUCUGAUAGAGAUCAGAUCUAAGAGAGAAAAAGAGAGAGAAGAAGAGAAGAAGAUAGGUUCUUCUUCUCUUCAUGAUGAUCUGGUUCAGAUCCCGUCAGAUCUACGCGAAAGAGUUCACACAGCGAUCUGCUUCUUCAAGAUCUGAAAGAAGAGAUCAAGAUCCAUGGAUGAGGAGCAAGACCUGCAAGGUGCUAGCACACCGAAGAUCUUGAUGCUUCGAUCAGAUAGUUUCAUGUGGAUACCAGCAA